Molecule: long non-coding RNA, 622 nt
Filed under: Populus trichocarpa (black cottonwood)
Lineage: Eukaryota; Viridiplantae; Streptophyta; Magnoliopsida; Malpighiales; Salicaceae
Description: long non-coding RNA (PTRI_LNC000644)
Source: RNAcentral
CAUGAAACUCUUCCAUUGUACUAUCACUAGUCGAAGUAGGAAGAGUUGCAGUUGCAAGAAGAAGGCCACUAUUUGUUGGAGAUGUCCUCAUCGAUGCCGGUGCUGAGCAUUCUCCUCUCGUCCCUCGCAACUCCUGUUUAUUUCCCCAACUUAAAUUACCUGAAAAUGAAUAAGGUUUCCUGUGGGAUUGGAGAUUUUCUCUCCUUCCUUUGAAGAACAUUAGUGGCCUAACCAUUCUGGCGUACCUCUUCAGUACCUGACUUGCGUCGAACCUCAGCUUUUUCUUGUGCUCACCCUUGUCCUCCUCCUUUUCUUUAACUUCACACCCUUUUCGCCAACCGAAUAAAGAGAAAGACUUGGGCUUGCUUCUUCCCUUCGUCUCACUAUAGUUUUUGCUUCGAUGGCGACUACAGUUAUUGUUGUUGUUGAUGUUGUUGCUACUGCUAAUGCUAUUUCCAUUGCUGGUGCUGCAGUUAUUGCUACUUUUGUUGGGUCUUUGAUCAUCUAAUAAUUCCUUGAUAGGGAGGGUGAAGCUGUCAAAGGAAUUUGUGGACGAGCGAGGAGAUACAGGAAGGUGUGAGAGGAGAUGGAGAGGGAGCAAGUGCCCAUGGAAGAAAAUGUC